UACGGAGGGUGCGAGCGUUGUCCGGAAUCACUGGGCGUAAAGGGCGCGUAGGCGGCAUGCCAAGCGUGUGGUGAAAGCCCGGGGCUCAACCCCGGGUCGGCCGUGCGGACUGGCGUGCUCGAGCACUGUAGGGGCGGGUGGAAUUCCUGGUGUAGCGGUGAAAUGCGCAGAUAUCAGGAGGAACACCGGUGGCGAAGGCGGGUCUCUGGGCCGAUACUGACGCUGAGGAGCGAAAGCGUGGGGAGCGAACAGG
Molecule: ribosomal RNA, 253 nt
Filed under: uncultured bacterium
Lineage: Bacteria
Description: partial 16S ribosomal RNA
Rfam family: Bacterial small subunit ribosomal RNA
Source: RNAcentral